UUCGACACACUAUCAUUAACUGAAUCCAUAGGUUAAUGAGGCGAACCGGGGGAACUGAAACAUCUAAGUACCCCGAGGAAAAGAAAUCAACCGAGAUUCCCCCAGUAGCGGCGAGCGAACGGGGAGGAGCCCAGAGCCUGAAUCAGCAUGUGUGUUAGUGGAAGCGUCUGGAAAGGCGCGCGAUACAGGGUGACAGCCCCGUACACAAAAGCGCAUGUGCUGUGAGCUCGAUGAGUAGGGCGGGACACGUGGUAUCCUGUCUGAAUAUGGGGGGACCAUCCUCCAAGGCUAAAUACUCCUGACUGACCGAUAGUGAACCAGUACCGUGAGGGAAAGGCGAAAAGAACCCCGGCGAGGGGAGUGAAAAAGAACCUGAAACCGUGUACGUACAAGCAGUGGGAGCCCCACCACUAAGCCAGUGGUGAACUCCACAUACGCAUCCUUUGCUGAGGAUACGGUUAACGGAGCGAAAGCGACGUUCAACCUCAAAAGAAGCAGAGGGGGCUUAG
RNAcentral lists this ribosomal RNA (509 nucleotides) under Salmonella enterica subsp. enterica serovar Corvallis. RNAcentral's name for it is "partial 23S ribosomal RNA". It matches the Rfam family "Bacterial large subunit ribosomal RNA", at positions 139 to 671 of the family's 2925-position model. Lineage: Bacteria; Pseudomonadati; Pseudomonadota; Gammaproteobacteria; Enterobacterales; Enterobacteriaceae. The record is from RNAcentral.